ACACCACCACCGCCACCGAUGAGCACAGCUCAAGCAACACCACCACCACCACCGCCGAUGAGCGCAGCUCAAGCGACACCACCACCGCCGCCGAUGAGCGCAGCUCAAGCGGAAACCCUCGCAACCACAGAAUGGACCGAAGUUGUAA
Mya arenaria is the source of this 148-nucleotide long non-coding RNA. RefSeq lists it as uncharacterized. The transcript is spliced from 4 exons. The record is from RefSeq and is a predicted model, not a curated record. Lineage: Eukaryota; Metazoa; Mollusca; Bivalvia; Myida; Myidae.